GGACUACAAGGGUAUCUAAUCCUGUUUGCUCCCCACGCUUUCGCGUCUCAGCGUCAGUACCGUCCCAGCGAGCUGCCUUCGCCAUUGGUGUUCCUCCUGAUAUCUGCGCAUUUCACCGCUACACCAGGAAUUCCACUCGCCCCUUCCGGACUCUAGCCUCACAGUAUCCACCGGCAUCCCAGGGUUGAGCCCUGGACUUUCACAGCGGACUGAUGAGGCCGCCUACACGCUCUUUACGCCCAAUGAUUCCGGACAACGCUUGCACCCUACGUAUUACCGCGGCUGCUGGCAC
RNAcentral lists this ribosomal RNA (292 nucleotides) under uncultured bacterium. RNAcentral describes it as "partial 16S ribosomal RNA". The record is from RNAcentral.